Molecule: ribosomal RNA, 229 nt
Filed under: uncultured bacterium
Lineage: Bacteria
Description: partial 16S ribosomal RNA
Rfam family: Bacterial small subunit ribosomal RNA
Source: RNAcentral
UUGAACGCUGGCGGCAUGCCUUACACAUGCAAGUCGAACGGUAGAGGGGCAACCCUUGAGAGUGGCGAACGGGUUAGUAAUGCAUCGGAACGUGCCCAGUCGUGGGGGAUAACGCAGCGAAAGCUGUGCUAAUACCGCAUGUGAUCUGUGGAUGAAAGCAGGGGACCGCAAGGCCUUGUGCGAUUGGAGCGGCCGAUGUCAGAUUAGCUAGUUGGUAGGUAAAAGCCUA